Molecule: long non-coding RNA, 455 nt
Organism: Oncorhynchus tshawytscha (Chinook salmon)
Lineage: Eukaryota; Metazoa; Chordata; Actinopteri; Salmoniformes; Salmonidae
Source: Ensembl
ACAUACAUACAUGUUACAUACAUACAGGUUACAUACAUACAGGUUACAUACAUACAGGUUACAUACAUACAUGUUACAUACUUACAGGUUACAUACAUACAGGUUACAUACAGGUUACAUACAUACAGGUCACAUACAUACAGGUCACAUACAUACAGGUUACAUACAUACAGGUUACAUACAGGUUACAUACAUACAGGUUACAUACAUACAGGUUACAUACAGGUUACAUACAUACAGGUUACAUACAGGUUACAUACAUACAGGUUACAUACAGGUUACAUACAUACAGGUUACAUACAUACAGGUUACAUACAGGUUACAUACAGGUUACAUACAUACAUGUUACAUACAUACAGGUUACAUGCAUACAGGUUACAUACAUACAGGUUACAUACAUACAGGUUACAUACAGGUUACAUACAUACAGGUUACAUACAGGUUACAUACAUACA